Molecule: transfer RNA, 91 nt
Filed under: Candidatus Omnitrophota bacterium
Lineage: Bacteria; Pseudomonadati; Candidatus Omnitrophota
Description: tRNA-Ser
Rfam family: tRNA
About the family: Transfer RNA (tRNA) molecules are approximately 80 nucleotides in length. Their secondary structure includes four short double-helical elements and three loops (D, anti-codon, and T loops).
Source: RNAcentral
GGAGAGGUGGCCGAGUGGUUGAAGGCAGCCGCCUGCUAAGCGGUUGAAUUCUUGAAAAGGGGUUCCCCGGGUUCGAAUCCCGGCCUCUCCG